Long non-coding RNA from Gopherus flavomarginatus (Mexican gopher tortoise), 1256 nucleotides. RefSeq lists it as uncharacterized. The transcript has 4 exons. The record is from RefSeq and is a predicted model, not a curated record. NCBI's taxonomy places the organism in Eukaryota, Metazoa, Chordata, Testudines, Testudinidae.
UGUUGGAGGGAUCCUGGGCUAUGGGGCUUGCAUGUUGUUUUUUGUUGUCGGUGGGACUACUCCUAUGCUUAAGUGCUUUGCUGUAUCAAGCCCAUGUACUCAGCAACUUGUAGGACGAAGCCUCACCUAGGAGUAGCCUGGGAAGAGCAGAAUAUAUCUAUUGAGCAUGGUAAGCUAGGUUUUAGCUAUGCCUUCCACUUGUUGGGUGUGAAAUUCACUCCCAUGUGCCAGGCUAGCCCAGAGCACACAGGACCCUGUUGGAGUGGUGCGCAGAACUUGUACUGGCCCUCGGCAAAGAGGUGAAUUUCAUCCAUGGUUGGGUAGAAGACAAGUAGGAUUUUAUCAGCAGCGAGAGGGCAAUCCUAAGAAUAUUUUCUUUUUCUAUUGUGUCCUUGGGCCCACAGCCCAAUAAUUCUGCUAGUGCUAGGCAUCAUACUUUUUAUUUCAGUCUAAUUCAAACCUAGAAACUCUUCUCAGCUUCAAGCAUGGAUUUUUUGGAUAAUAUAAGGCAGUGGUUCUCAACUUUUGUACUGGUGACCUCUUUCACACAGCAAGCCUACGAGUGUGACCCCCUUAUAAAGCCUAUCUACUUCCAGAUCUCAUGCUAGUACAACAAACAUGUUCUGCUGAACUAGCUUCAUCUACGUAUAACUCCUGGCUUCCCCAUACAACAGCAGCAGAGCAGGUCUGGCAGGAGCAGCACAAGCCUCCAUACAUGGGGCCUGACUCACCACUAUGUUACUCCACUAUCCCUUCUUGUGCGGUGGAUGCUUGUUUGCUGAAGCACCUCUGCCAAUAUCCAGUGUGGCUGCUGGGAGCAGGGGCUGGGGCCAAGAAGAGAAGUUUUUGCUCUCUGUGCCAUUCUCCUCUGGACUCAGCAGAUUCCCAUAAAGCUGCUUGACGACGCAUUAGGGGUGGUGUCAUAAACAGAUUGUUAAGGGUUAAUGUCUCUUGUACCUGUAAAGGGUUACAAGCAGGGAACUGGACACCUGACCAGAAGACCAAUCAGAAGACAAGAUACUUUUAAAUUUGGGUGGAGGGAAGCUUUUGUGUGUGUUCUUUGUCCGUUGUGUGUUCUUCUCUCGGAGGGUCUGAGAGAGACCAGACGUUACUACAGGCUCUCUAAGUUUCUUUCCAAAUAGUAAGUAAAAACAGGCGGUUUAGGCUUUUUGAUUGUUUUACUCUAUUUGCAAUUGUGGAUUUGGCUGGUUAACUUUUAUAUGUGUAGUUGCUGGGAAUAUUUUGAUUUGUAUUGG